GAUGAACGCUGGCGGCGUGCCUAAUACAUGCAAGUCGAGCGAACAGACGAGGAGCUUGCUCCUCUGACGUUAGCGGCGGACGGGUGAGUAACACGUGGAUAACCUACCUAUAAGACUGGGAUAACUUUGGGAAACCGGAGCUAAUACCGGAUAAUAUAUUGAACCGCAUGGUUCAAUAGUGAAAGACGGUUUUGCUGUCACUUAUAGAUGGAUCCGCGCCGCAUUAGCUAGUUGGUAAGGUAACGGCUUACCAAGGCAACGAUGCGUAGCCGACCUGAGAGGGUGAUCGGCCACACUGGAGCUGAGACACGGUCCAGACUCCUACGGGAGGCAGCAGUAGGGAAUCUUCCGCAAUGGGCGAAAGCCUGACGGAGCAACGCCGCGUGAGUGAUGAAGGUCUUCGGAUCGUAAAACUCUGUUAUUAGGGAAGAACAAAUGUGUAAGUAACUAUGCACGUCUUGACGGUACCUAAUCAGAAAGCCACGGCUAACUACGUG
RNAcentral lists this ribosomal RNA (497 nucleotides) under uncultured bacterium. RNAcentral's name for it is "partial 16S ribosomal RNA". It matches the Rfam family "Bacterial small subunit ribosomal RNA", at positions 28 to 507 of the family's 1533-position model. The record is from RNAcentral.